RNAcentral lists this ribosomal RNA (108 nucleotides) under Sneathia sanguinegens. The record is from RNAcentral. Lineage: Bacteria; Fusobacteriati; Fusobacteriota; Fusobacteriia; Fusobacteriales; Leptotrichiaceae.
UUUGGUGAUUUGGCUACAGUGAUACACCUAGUAACAUACCGAACCUAGAAGUUAAGACUGUGUGCGUCGAAGAUACUCAGAAAUGGGGAAAAUAGAUGAUUGCCAAAU